Molecule: long non-coding RNA, 215 nt
Filed under: Olea europaea (common olive)
Lineage: Eukaryota; Viridiplantae; Streptophyta; Magnoliopsida; Lamiales; Oleaceae
Description: long non-coding RNA (OEUR_LNC000724)
Source: RNAcentral
AUUAUUUUAUGAAAGAUUGUGUGAUUCAAAAUAAGAGAGAAAAAAAUAAAAAAAAUGAUGCUACCAAAAAUCGUACAUGUUGAUUUCCCAAACUUGAAGACUUUGAAUGAACACGAUCGUAGUCUUUUGGUACCUGAAACAAAGGCAAUGAAGUGUGUUCCCGUCGCCCCUCCAAUACUUAAGUCAGAAAGGAAAUUAUAUGCGUGAGACUAUAU